Molecule: long non-coding RNA, 449 nt
Organism: Dermacentor silvarum
Lineage: Eukaryota; Metazoa; Arthropoda; Arachnida; Ixodida; Ixodidae
Exons: 2
Source: RefSeq, a predicted model, not a curated record
UCAAUAAGGCAAACGUAAAAUAUAGUGAGAAUCACUUGCGAGAAAAGCUUCUUUGUUCAUCGUCUUUCAAGGUGUAUAUAGGUGGGGCAACGUUCCAACUUCAACGGCAUUUACCUACAACCAUAUAUUCUUGCAAAAAUGUUUUUCGUUAUGGCCUCAAUUUUUUUUCUACUAUCAACGAUGCAUGGAGAACGCCGCUUAUCUGCUCUUGCAUUGAAUACACGUUUACGCUGUCAGAAACGCGGUAGCCCUCAUUUGCGUCCGGCACCUCCUACAGCGCCUAGCACAACAACUCGUCGUCCAAACUCAAUUCGCAAUGGGCCAAUGUACGGCUAAAGCAAUGUCAUUCUUGGUGGAUACGAAUACCAACACCGAUGCGGAGCUCCACGAAAUACUACACUGUGCAGCCCUGCUCAGCACGUGAAUAAACAAUAAAUAUUUUAUUCAUA